AGCUCCAAUAGCGUAUAUUAAAGUUGUUGCGGUUAAAAGCUCGUAGUUGGAUUUCUGCUUGGGACGACCAGUCCGCCCUCUGGGUGAGUACGUGGUUCGGCCUGGGCAUCCUCCUGGGGAACGUUCCUGUGAUUGAUUUCAUGGGGCGGAAUUCAGGACCUUUACUUUGAGGAAAUUAGAGUGUUUCAAGCAGGCAUCUGCCUUGAAUACAUUAGCAUGGAAUAAUAAGAUAGGACCUCGUCCCUACCUUGUUGGUUCGUAGAGAUGGGGGUAAUG
This 276-nucleotide ribosomal RNA is filed under the name uncultured eukaryote. Its description in RNAcentral is "partial small subunit ribosomal RNA". It matches the Rfam family "Eukaryotic small subunit ribosomal RNA", at positions 587 to 867 of the family's 1831-position model. The record is from RNAcentral.